AACGAACGCUGGCGGCAGGCUUAACACAUGCAAGUCGAGCGCUCGUAGCAAUACGAGAGCGGCAGACGGGUGAGUAACGCGUGGGAACAUACCCCUAGGUUCGGAAUAACUCAGGGAAACUUGAGCUAAUACCGGAUACGGCCGUCGAUCGAGAGAUUGGCGGACGAAAGAUUUAUCGCCUGGGGAUUGGCCCGCGUCCGAUUAGCUAGUUGGUGUGGUAAUGGCGCACCAAGGCGACGAUCGGUAGCUGGUCUGAGAGGAUGAUCAGCCACAUUGGGACUGAGACACGGCCCAAACUCCUACGGGAGGCAGCAGUGGGGAAUAUUGGACAAUGGGCGCAAGCCUGAUCCAGCCAUGCCGCGUGAGUGAUGAAGGCCUUAGGGUUGUAAAGCUCUUUCACCCACGACGAUAAUGACGGUAGUGGGAGAAGAACGCCCGGCUAACUUCGUGCCAGCAGCCGCCGCAGUAA
This 469-nucleotide ribosomal RNA is filed under the name uncultured bacterium. RNAcentral's name for it is "bacterial SSU rRNA". It matches the Rfam family "Bacterial small subunit ribosomal RNA", at positions 29 to 523 of the family's 1533-position model. The record is from RNAcentral.